GUAGGGAAUAUUGGGCAAUGGUCGGAAGACUGACCCAGCCAUGCCGCGUGCAGGAAGACGGCCCUCUGGGUUGUAAACUGCUUUUAUCUGGGAAGAAAAAGGCCAUGCGUGGCAAAUUGCCGGUACCAGAUGAAUAAGCACCGGCUAACUCCGUGCCAGCAGCCGCGGUAAUACGGAGGGUGCGAGCGUUGUCCGGAUUUAUUGGGUUUAAAGGGUGCGUAGGCGGCUGAUUAAGUCAGCGGUGAAAGACUUCGGCUUAACCGGAGCAGUGCCGUUGAUACUGGUUGGCUGGAGUGUCGGAGGGGUACAUGGAAUUGAUGGUGUAGCGGUGAAAUGCAUAGAUACCAUCAGGAACACCGAUAGCGAAGGCAUUGUACUGGCCGACAACUGACGCUGAUGCACGAAAGUGUGGGGAUCGAACAGGAUUAGAAACCCGGGUAGUCC
RNAcentral lists this ribosomal RNA (444 nucleotides) under uncultured bacterium. RNAcentral describes it as "partial 16S ribosomal RNA". It matches the Rfam family "Bacterial small subunit ribosomal RNA", at positions 354 to 796 of the family's 1533-position model. The record is from RNAcentral.